RNAcentral lists this ribosomal RNA (478 nucleotides) under uncultured bacterium. RNAcentral's name for it is "partial 16S ribosomal RNA". It matches the Rfam family "Bacterial small subunit ribosomal RNA", at positions 28 to 523 of the family's 1533-position model. The record is from RNAcentral.
GACGAACGCUGGCGGCGUGCUUAACACAUGCAAGUCGAACGGUAAGGCCCUUCGGGGUACACGAGUGGCGAACGGGUGAGUAACACGUGGGUGAUCUGCCCUGCACUUCGGGAUAAGCCUGGGAAACUGGGUCUAGUACCGGAUAGGACUCCGGCCUGCAUGGUCUGGGGUGGAAAGCUGUUGCGGUGUGGGAUGGGCCCGCGGCCUAUCAGCUUGUUGGUGGGGUGAUGGCCUACCAAGGCGACGACGGGUAGCCGGCCUGAGAGGGUGACCGGCCACACUGGGACUGAGAUACGGCCCAGACUCCUACGGGAGGCAGCAGUGGGGAAUAUUGCACAAUGGGCGCAAGCCUGAUGCAGCGACGCCGCGUGAGGGAUGACGGCCUUCGGGUUGUAAACCUCUUUCAGCAUCGACGAAGCGAAAGUGACGGUAGGUGCAGAAGAAGGACCGGCCAACUACGUGCCAGCCGCCGCCGUAA